RNAcentral lists this ribosomal RNA (405 nucleotides) under uncultured bacterium. Its description in RNAcentral is "partial 16S ribosomal RNA". It matches the Rfam family "Bacterial small subunit ribosomal RNA", at positions 30 to 526 of the family's 1533-position model. The record is from RNAcentral.
AUUGAACGCUAGCGGGAUGCUUAACACAUGCAAGUCGAACGAGUGGCGGACGGGUGAGUAAUAUAUCGGAACGUGCCCAGUAGCGGGGGAUAACUACUCGAAAGAGUGGCUAAUACCGCAUACUAAUGGAGCGGCCGAUAUCGGAUUAGCGAGUUGGGGGGGUAAAGGCUCACCAAGGCCACGAGCCGUAGCUGGGUUGAGAGGAAGACCAGCCACACUGGGACUUAGACACGGCCCAUACUCCUACGGUAGGCAGCAGUGGGGAAUUUUGGACAAUGGGCGAAACCCUGAUCCAGCCAUCCCGCGUGUAUGAGAAGGCCUUCGGGUUGUAAAGUACUUUUGGCAGAGAAGCGGUAUCUGACGAAUAAGCACCGGCUAACUACGUGCCAGCAGCCGCGGUAAUUC